Molecule: ribosomal RNA, 504 nt
Filed under: uncultured bacterium
Lineage: Bacteria
Description: partial 16S ribosomal RNA
Rfam family: Bacterial small subunit ribosomal RNA
Source: RNAcentral
GACGAACGCUGGCGGCGUGCCUAAUACAUGCAAGUAGAACGCACAUUUAUACCGUAGCUUGCUACACCAUAGACUGUGAGUUGCUAACGGGUGAGUAACUCGUAUGUAACCUGCCUGGUAGCGGGGGAUAACUAUUGGAAACGAUAGCUAAUACCGCAUAAUAUUAAUUAUUGCAUGAUAAUUAAUUGAAAGGUGCAAUUGCACCACUACCAGAUGGACCUGCGUUGUAUUAGCUAGUAGGUGAGGUAACGGCUCACCUAGGCGACGAUACAUAGCCGACCUGAGAGGGUGAUCGGCCACACUGGGACUGAGACACGGCCCAGACUCCUACGGGAGGCAGCAGUAGGGAAUCUUCGGGAAUGGACGGAAGUCUGACCGGGCAACGCCGCGUGAGUGAAGAAGGUUUUCGGAUCGGAAAGCUCUGUUGUAAGAGAAGAAAGGGUGUGAGAGUGGAAAGUUCACACUGUGACGGUAUCUUACCAGAAAGAGACGGCUAACUACGUG